Molecule: ribosomal RNA, 372 nt
Filed under: uncultured organism
Description: partial 16S ribosomal RNA
Rfam family: Bacterial small subunit ribosomal RNA
Source: RNAcentral
GUAGGUGGCAAGCGUUGUCCGGAAUUAUUGGGCGUAAGGCGCGCGCAGGCGGUUCUUUAAGUCUGAUGUGAAAGCCCACGGCUCAACCGUGGAGGGUCAUUGGAAACUGGAGAACUUGAGUACAGAAGAGGAAAGCGGAAUUCCACGUGUAGCGGUGAAAUGCGUAGAGAUGUGGAGGAACACCAGUGGCGAAGGCGGCUUUCUGGUCUGUAACUGACGCUGAGGCGCGAAAGCGUGGGGAGCAAACAGGAUUAGAUACCCUGGUAGUCCACGCCGUAAACGAUGAGUGCUAAGUGUUAGGGGGUUUCCGCCCCUUAGUGCUGCAGCUAACGCAUUAAGCACUCCGCCUGGGGAGUACGGCCGCAAAGGCUG